This 495-nucleotide ribosomal RNA is filed under the name uncultured bacterium. RNAcentral's name for it is "partial 16S ribosomal RNA". It matches the Rfam family "Bacterial small subunit ribosomal RNA", at positions 28 to 507 of the family's 1533-position model. The record is from RNAcentral.
GGCGAACGCUGGCGGCGUGCCUAAUACAUGCAAGUAGAACGCUGAAGGAGGAGCUUGCUUCUCUGGAUGAGUUGCGAACGGGUGAGUAACGCGUAGGUAACCUGCCUGGUAGCGGGGGAUAACUAUUGGAAACGAUAGCUAAUACCGCAUAAGAGUAGAUGUUGCAUGACAUUUGCUUAAAAGGUGCAAUUGCAUCACUACCAGAUGGACCUGCGUUGUAUUAGCUAGUUGGUGGGGUAACGGCUCACCAAGGCGACGAUACAUAGCCGACCUGAGAGGGUGAUCGGCCACACUGGGACUGAGACACGGCCCAGACUCCUACGGGAGGCAGCAGUAGGGAAUCUUCGGCAAUGGACGGAAGUCUGACCGAGCAACGCCGCGUGAGUGAAGAAGGGUGUCGGAUCGUAAAGCUCUGUUGUAAGAGAAGAACGAGUGUGAGAGUGGAAAGUUCACACUGUGACGGUAUCUUACCAGAAAGGGACGGCUAACUACGUG